CCUACGGGGUGCAGCAGUGGGGAAUAUUGGACAAUGGGCGAAAGCCUGAUCCAGCAAUGCCGCGUGUGUGAAGAAGGUCUUCGGAUUGUAAAGCACUUUCGACGGGGACGAUGAUGACGGUACCCGUAGAAGAAGCCCCGGCUAACUUCGUGCCAGCAGCCGCGGUAAUACGAAGGGGGCUAGCGUUGCUCGGAAUGACUGGGCGUAAAGGGCGCGUAGGCGGUUUAUGCAGUCAGAUGUGAAAUCCCCGGGCUUAACCUGGGAACUGCAUUUGAGACGCAUAGACUAGAGGUCGAGAGAGGGUUGUGGAAUUCCCAGUGUAGAGGUGAAAUUCGUAGAUAUUGGGAAGAACACCGGUGGCGAAGGCGGCAACCUGGCUCGAUACUGACGCUGGAGUGCGAAAGCAUGGGGAGCGAACGGGAUUAGAUACCCCUGUAGUC
Molecule: ribosomal RNA, 440 nt
Filed under: uncultured bacterium
Lineage: Bacteria
Description: bacterial SSU rRNA
Rfam family: Bacterial small subunit ribosomal RNA
Source: RNAcentral